UGAUGUGUCUGGCACUACGAUGGGAGCUCUCGCACAAUUCGGUUUCCAGUCGCUCGCGAGAUGAGGUGCGGAGAGGUGAUCAGCGCGGCCGCCAUUUUGGGGGCGGCCCUGGUGACCGGCGUCGUGGCCGGCAUCGUGACCGGCACGCCGGGCACGGUCCCUCGCGGUGAGGGUGGACGAAACUCUAACAAUAUUUUGGGCGCGAAUAUUCGGAGACUGAGCGCAGGACAGGAAGAUAUGGAUGGAAUGGAACGAACCGUGUCCAACGCAGUCGGACGAGGGGUUGAAAGUGUUCUGGUGACCGUUGAUGGAAACGCCGCAAACGAUACGAAAAUCUCAAACGAGGAGGACGGAACUACUGGGGACGGCAAGGAGUUGGCCAGUGUUAUUUUACCGCGAGCAGUCAAGAUUUCAUUGAAAUGGGACACUGAUUACUCCUCUGGUAAACACAAUUCUGGCUAUGGCGGUAGGAGUAGGUCAUCGUAUGACAGCUAUGAAAGCAGCAGUGGUAGCUCUGAGUCCGACGAUGACAGUCUGUACCAAUGUUCGCGUUGCGGUCAUAGCAGCGGCGGCGGCAGAGGCUCUCACUCGCACAGUUUCUCUAUCAGCGGUCGGAGGAGCGGCAUGACCCCCGCCGACUCUUACGAAUACAACGACGCCGACUCGGACUCGGACUCGGACUCGGACAGUUUCAGUUCUUACAGCGGCAGUGGCUUCAGCCGCAUGGGAGACAUGGGUGACAUGGACAUGGAGGCGGACCAACUGGAGGCGGAUGAGCCGUGGGAUGCUGACCCUUUCGCGAGAAUUCAAAAGUCGCGGCUCCCACAAUGGGAUGACGACGACGAAUACGAAGACGACAUGGGCCCUCCGACUCCUCCAAGUCGGGGAUCCAGGACCCCGAUUGGAGGAUCGAGCCGACUUGCAGGGUCGCGGACACCGACUGCAGGGUCGCCGAGGCGAACUGGAGGAUCGCGGACUCCAACUCGAGGUUGGGAUGACCCAAGUGACGAUUACGCACCCUCCGCCUCCAGGUACGACACCACGUACCAUAACGACGCAUACGAAACCCCAAGACGUAAGACGUCGUACGGUGACAAGGGUUACGCAACGCCAAAACGCAAGACGUCGUAUGUUGAAGACAGUUACGAAACAUCUCCAGGCAUGCUUGGGUCGAACGCGGGGAUCUUCUCCAGCUUUAACCCCGCCAGUGGCUUCAAGAAUGGCUUAAACAGGGGUUUUAGUGGUAGUUUUGGGGUUGGAUACAACGUUCCCUUCAAUGGUGGCUUCAGCAGUGGCUACGGGGGCGGUUUCGGUGGUGGCCACGGUGGUUUUGGCGGCUUCGGUGGUAGAAAUAACUUCAUGAUUUCGACCCGAGUGUUUGACGCUGUGCAGGAUUUGAUCGAGGACCAGUCCAUGUUUUACGUGACGUUUGAAUGUCAGCCCAAAGUCGGUAAAUACUUUUGUAAAAUGCAGUGUAAAGAGCGCGACGAAAAAUUGACAGGAACCUGCGACGGUGGAUAUUGCAACUGCAUUCUCAAAUGGGAGAAAAAGAUGAAGAAGGCGAUGAGCAAACAAUUCCGAGCUGCUAUGGAGGGUUACAACACGGAUUGCAGCGACUACAAGGAGGCGAAACAUUGCAAACGGUUCUGCAAAGCUCUGACACCGGACAAAACGUUCACCGGUCAGUGCAACGUGAACCACUGCCAAUGCGUGACCUACCCGAAGACCCCGGGCAAGAAGAAGAACGCUUGCACGAAAGCCAUCAAGAAGCUGAAGAAGGUCGAAGACAAAGCGCUGUAUGGUCUGGGGAUCAAACCGAAGCCGCUGAGCAGCCUCGGUGCCGACGCCGAGAAGCAGGUCAACGCAGUCGCCGACGAAGCCAUCGAGAAGUUGAAGGCCGCCAACUCCAUGGACGGGUGCACCGAGAAGGACAUACAGGAUCUAAAGUCCAUCAUAUCUAGUCUCUCACAAGGAUUGAACCUGGUCAAAGGGGUAGACUACGCGUCAAUCCUCACUGGCGGGGGAAGCGGUAAAGGCGCCGGGAGUAGUCCUGGGAGUCCCGGUAAAAGUGGUGGAAGUUUCGAGAGGAGUGUUGGAAGUCCCGGCAGAAGUGGUGGAGGUGGAUACGGUGGAAGUGGUGGAGGUGGAUAUGGAGGAAGUGCUGAAGGUGGAUAUGGCGGAAGUGGCGGAGGAGGCGGUGGAUAUGGUGGAAGCUCCAGUAGAAGUGGUGGAGGUGGAGGUGGCGGUGGAUAUGAUGGAAGUUCCAGUAGAAGUGGUGGAGGUGGCGGUGGAUAUGCUGGAAGUCCCAGAGGUGGUGGAGGCGGUGGAAGUCCCCGUAGAGGUGGCGGAGGCGGUGGAGGAGGAUACGGUGGAUAUGGUGGUGGUGGUGGAGGUUGAGGUGGCAGUUGGCAACAGCAGCUUGUAUGAUCAGGAUUAAAUAUUUUCAUUCAUAUUUGGCAAAUAGUAAACUCUGUCAAUGAUUAAAACAUGUCUUAUGCAUCACCAAACUUCAUUCUGUAUAGUGAUUCGAUGAAGCCAAACUGUUAAUUAUCUCGGAGUGAAGUCCGGCGCGAAUUUCACUCCGCAGCGGUCAGAUUAUUGAUAUUGAUAGGCAAAGCAAUGGACAAGGAAGUAAAAGGAAAAUAGAGAAUUUGCAGGUGUCUUAUAUUUUGUGUAUUUCAUCUAUAAAAUGAUACAACAAGGAAAACUGAGCGUGAGGAUAUCGUCGGUCUCUAAAUUGAACAAUUAUUGGAGAAAAUAUGAUAAAAUAACCUAAUCUGCUAAAAUACAUGUGUUUAAAUGGGUAACGCCGCCAGAUGACGUCACAAGGCGGCAAAUUUUCUCACUUUUAAUGUGAUAAUGACGAUCGAUUAAUUGUAGGAACUCUCGUGGGUUGCCGUUAAUUAGUAUAUUAUUUAUCUCUUUUUUUCCCUCGCAAUCACCCGUCCUCACCAAUAGGAUCACUCCAUUUUCCAAGCGCCUUUGUUUUGUUCGUCUAUACAUACAGGGUUAUUCAAAAGUCACGCACCACUGGACAUAACUUCAGUUCUAAUUAUGAUAUCGAUUUGCGGUUUAAGAUGUUUUUCCUCAUAUCGAGGGGGGAACUUUUUAGGUACUUUCCAGCUUUUGAUCCCCUCGGGGGAGGGGGGCGGGGGCAACUUAAAACUUUCAAAUGGCCACUCCACUCAUGGCCAGUGGUGCGUAACUUUUGAAUAACCCUGUAUAUCUUUGCCCAUUGAUUUGUCAUUACAAGCAUGUCCAAAGGAAGUAUCACGCAGCGCCUUGUAACCUUGCCCUCUAUUACAUUGCGUAACACUAGAAUAUACUUACAUACAUCGAGAAAAAGUUGAUAUUCAUUUAAGCAGAACUAUUCUUAAAAUUGCCGCCUCUUAACCAAUGAGAAUAGAUGACCAAAUCUGGAAGGAAGGCGCGAACAUCUCGACGAAACCUAUUUAAUUGAAGUGAUUGUAUCACUGAGUCAAGAAGA
Molecule: long non-coding RNA, 3487 nt
Filed under: Bemisia tabaci
Lineage: Eukaryota; Metazoa; Arthropoda; Insecta; Hemiptera; Aleyrodidae
Description: lncRNA ENSSSA1NGG000280
Source: RNAcentral